Molecule: transfer RNA, 66 nt
Filed under: Dicerapanorpa magna
Lineage: Eukaryota; Metazoa; Arthropoda; Insecta; Mecoptera; Panorpidae
Description: tRNA-Ala
Rfam family: tRNA
About the family: Transfer RNA (tRNA) molecules are approximately 80 nucleotides in length. Their secondary structure includes four short double-helical elements and three loops (D, anti-codon, and T loops).
Source: RNAcentral
AGGACUGUAGUUAACUAUAACAUUUGAUUUGCAUUCAAAAAGUAUUGAUUUGAUCAAUCUGUCUUA